GGAGAGAUGCUCGAGUGGCUGAAGAGGCACGCCUGGAAAGCGUGUAUGCGUCAAAAGCGUAUCGGGGGUUCGAAUCCCCCUCUCUCCG
Molecule: transfer RNA, 88 nt
Filed under: Paludibacteraceae bacterium
Lineage: Bacteria; Pseudomonadati; Bacteroidota; Bacteroidia; Bacteroidales; Paludibacteraceae
Also listed under: 1 other name
Description: tRNA-Ser
Rfam family: tRNA
About the family: Transfer RNA (tRNA) molecules are approximately 80 nucleotides in length. Their secondary structure includes four short double-helical elements and three loops (D, anti-codon, and T loops).
Source: RNAcentral